RNAcentral lists this long non-coding RNA (2067 nucleotides) under Ooceraea biroi (clonal raider ant). RNAcentral describes it as "uncharacterized LOC109611347". The record is from RNAcentral. Lineage: Eukaryota; Metazoa; Arthropoda; Insecta; Hymenoptera; Formicidae.
AUCACUGCCAUUUGAUUGUCAGAGCAGGCGCCGCGCGCCGCGUAAUCGCGAUCGCGCGCGAGCCGGAUCGCGCACGAUCGGCGCGACGAUCAGCGGAUCAUCCGUUCCCGAAAGGAUUUCCCGUGAUUUUGCCUGCUGCUUACUCGAUCGAUCGAUCGGUCGGCGUCUUCUUCGCGAAGAUUUCCGGAAGUCGCGGACUUGAACAAGUUUGUUGGUCGCCGCGUGACGUCAGGACCAGCGUGAAAAGCGUCGCGCUUGCGAUUUCUGAUAUCUGGAUGAUAUCACGAUUGCAUCGAUCGCAUGUGAAUAAUCGUGGGCUUUAUCGCGAGUCAUCGAUCGUCCGAGUUUGUUCACUUCGCAAAAAUGUUACGUGACGCUUCUCAGGAAUCGCAUGUGUUUAUUCAGGCACCCCGUUGUUCAUUGUGUGAUAUUUCUGGAGGCACUUAUUAAUACGUGAACUGAUUCCGACAUCUCACGCGGAACGAUCUUUUUGGAUCUCCGAUCUGACGUUCGCGCGUUGCGCGCACAUUAUGCGAGAUCGUGUACAGUGAAUAAUUACAUCACAGUUGAACGUGAAUUAAAUUCUGAGCAGCCGCUACCGUGACAGCGCCCCGUAAUCAGCCGGCGAUAACUCAUUUAAUGGAAGCGUUUGGUUUCACGAACACGCGACACACGAUCCGAGCAACGAAGCAACGCACACGAAGAACGAAGAGCACUCCGGAGUUCCACGAUCGAAAGCGAUGACGAUCAUCGACCUUGCUGGAUCGGCGCCGUUAAUCGCAGCUACAGUAAUUUAGCUCACGUGUGUCUCCGACCACGUGCACGGCAUCACGAAACAGGGCUUUCCUGAAGAGAAACGAUUUUCGCUAAUUCUCGUCAAUUGGGAUCAAGAUCAAGAUGAAGAGAAAUUUCGAGGGAUCUCAUGGACUCGAUUUAAUGGAACUCGAAACGAAUUACGUAACGGUGUAAUCGGUUACUCGAUUUUCUCGUACGCGCAGUGACGCUUUCUCUCGCCUCGAUUUUCCAGAUAGUGUAUUGAAUUGUCGCAAUAAACGCAGAAGCCUGAUUUGAUGUUUGCAAUUGCUUUGAUUGAUCGCGAUCUUCGUUGAGAGCAGACUCGACUCUGAGUGCGCAAAAGCGAAACCACGUGCGUGCGUGGCAAAGAUUUAUCUUGCAUUUAACGGGAUCAAGUGUGAGGAUUUCACGGGAAGAUCGGAGUGUCGACUUUGCGAAACGCGAUUCCACUGAUUACGCGCUCUACCCACAGCGAUCGAGUGCUGAAAGAAUUUCACGGAAACUGGAGGAUUUAAUGGGCACCAAGUAAUGAAAAAGGAGCAUCCGGUACACUGUUUAACCCUGAUGACUCUCGAUCUCAGAUAAGGGGAGGAAAAUGGGAGAAGGAAGAUGCAGCCGAAGGAAACGAGAAUUUGCGAGUCGUGGACGAGCGACAGCGUCUGAUCACGGUGUCGCGCGUGUACGUCACUCGGUGUGAAGGAAACAUCAAAAAGCGACCCGCUGAAAGGAGGUGCACGUGGACGGAGGUGACGGCGGAAGAAUCCUUAACGCGAGCACGCGUGCAAGAGGCGAUUGUCCAGCGAUUCAUCUUCUCUCGCAGGUUCGCAGGUGUUCGCGCGCGUCCUUCACGACCUCCUUGUCGUCGAUCGUCCUUUUCUUCCCGAUGAGGUGAGCAGCCCUUGGUCACUCCUCUACUCCGCGAUCAGCACGAGAGAGAAAGGUGACGUAAGGGAGGAAGAGGGAGGCAAGGAAAACGAGAACACGUUGCGAUAGUGCUGGAAUAGACGAGACGGAUCGGGGAGAGCGAUCCGCGGAGAAGGAAAGGGACAAGGUUUAGAAGAGCGAGAAGAGCGGAACGAAGAGGAGAGAAGACGAGAGAAGAAGCGGACAAAUAGAAAAGUGGAAGACGUCGGGGCAAGAGAGUCGCUGAGAGAAGAAAGACGAAGAAGAGCAGCGAUCAAGACGGAGACAGGGAUAAACCUUAACGAAGCGGAGGAAGAGAGCUCCCAAGAGAGAAAGAGAGAGAGAGAGAUACGCAGAGAGAGGGCGAAA